Molecule: ribosomal RNA, 214 nt
Filed under: uncultured eukaryote
Lineage: Eukaryota
Description: partial 18S ribosomal RNA
Rfam family: Eukaryotic small subunit ribosomal RNA
Source: RNAcentral
UGGUGGAGUGAUUUGUCUGCUUAAUUGCGUUAACGAACGAGACCUCGGCCUAUUAAAUAGUUAUGGAAACCUUCUAAUUGGUGAAGGGGCUGAUGCAGGGCCUUCUAAGGGCAACCUUGGGAGGCCCCUUGGCUCUGGAUCCUUGAUGCGUUUCUAGAUAUACUUCUUAGAGGUACAAUUUACAUCAAGUAAAGUGAAGAACGAGGCAAUAACA